GACGAACGCCGGCGGCGUGCCUAAUACAUGCAAGUCGAGCGCAGGAAGCCGUCUGAACCCUUCGGGGGGACGACGGUGGAAUGAGCGGCGGACGGGUGAGUAACACGUAAAGAACCUGCCCAUAGGUCUGGGAUAACCACGAGAAAUCGGGGCUAAUACCGGAUGUGUCAUCGGACCGCAUGGUCCGCUGAUGAAAGGCGCUCCGGCGUCGCCCAUGGAUGGCUUUGCGGUGCAUUAGCUAGUUGGUGGGGUAACGGCCCACCAAGGCGACGAUGCAUAGGCGACCUGAGAGGGUGAUCGGCCACACUGGGACUGAGACACGGCCCAGACUCCUACGGGAGGCAGCAGUAGGGAAUCUUCCACAAUGGACGAAAGUCUGAUGGAGCAACGCCGCGUGAACGAUGAAGGCUUUCGGGUCGUAAAGUUCUGUUGUAAGGGAAGAACAAGUGCCGCAGGCAAUGGCGGCACCUUGACGGUACCUUGCGAGAAAGCCACGGCUAACUACGUGCCAGCAGCCGCGGUAA
Molecule: ribosomal RNA, 524 nt
Filed under: uncultured bacterium
Lineage: Bacteria
Description: partial 16S ribosomal RNA
Rfam family: Bacterial small subunit ribosomal RNA
Source: RNAcentral